Molecule: ribosomal RNA, 1439 nt
Filed under: uncultured organism
Description: SSU rRNA
Rfam family: Bacterial small subunit ribosomal RNA
Source: RNAcentral
CUUGCUACAGGCUUAACACAUGCAAGUCGAGGGGCAGCAUGGUCUUAGCUUGCUAAGGCCGAUGGCGACCGGCGCACGGGUGAGUAACACGUAUCCAACCUGCCGUCUACUCUUGGACAGCCUUCUGAAAGGAAGAUUAAUACAAGAUGGCAUCAUGAGUCCGCAUGUUCACAUGAUUAAAGGUAUUCCGGUAGACGAUGGGGAUGCGUUCCAUUAGAUAGUAGGCGGGGUAACGGCCCACCUAGUCUUCGAUGGAUAGGGGUUCUGAGAGGAAGGUCCCCCACAUUGGAACUGAGACACGGUCCAAACUCCUACGGGAGGCAGCAGUGAGGAAUAUUGGUCAAUGGGCGAGAGCCUGAACCAGCCAAGUAGCGUGAAGGAUGACUGCCCUAUGGGUUGUAAACUUCUUUUAUAAAGGAAUAAAGUCGGGUAUGGAUACCCGUUUGCAUGUACUUUAUGAAUAAGGAUCGGCUAACUCCGUGCCAGCAGCCGCGGUAAUACGGAGGAUCCGAGCGUUAUCCGGAUUUAUUGGGUUUAAAGGGAGCGUAGAUGGAUGUUUAAGUCAGUUGUGAAAGUUUGCGGCUCAACCGUAAAAUUGCAGUUGAUACUGGAUAUCUUGAGUGCAGUUGAGGCAGGCGGAAUUCGUGGUGUAGCGGUGAAAUGCUUAGAUAUCACGAAGAACUCCGAUUGCGAAGGCAGCCUGCUAAGCUGCAACUGACAUUGAGGCUCGAAAGUGUGGGUAUCAAACAGGAUUAGAUACCCUGGUAGUCCACACGGUAAACGAUGAAUACUCGCUGUUUGCGAUAUACAGCAAGCGGCCAAGCGAAAGCGUUAAGUAUUCCACCUGGGGAGUACGCCGGCAACGGUGAAACUCAAAGGAAUUGACGGGGGCCCGCACAAGCGGAGGAACAUGUGGUUUAAUUCGAUGAUACGCGAGGAACCUUACCCGGGCUUAAAUUGCAGAUGAAUUACGGUGAAAGCCGUAAGCCGCAAGGCAUCUGUGAAGGUGCUGCAUGGUUGUCGUCAGCUCGUGCCGUGAGGUGUCGGCUUAAGUGCCAUAACGAGCGCAACCCUUGUUGUCAGUUACUAACAGGUUCCGCUGAGGACUCUGACAAGACUGCCAUCGUAAGAUGUGAGGAAGGUGGGGAUGACGUCAAAUCAGCACGGCCCUUACGUCCGGGGCUACACACGUGUUACAAUGGGGGGUACAGAGGGCCGCUACCACGCGAGUGGAUGCCAAUCCCCAAAACCUCUCUCAGUUCGGACUGGAGUCUGCAACCCGACUCCACGAAGCUGGAUUCGCUAGUAAUCGCGCAUCAGCCACGGCGCGGUGAAUACGUUCCCGGGCCUUGUACACACCGCCCGUCAAGCCAUGGGAGCCGGGGGUACCUGAAGUGCGUAACCGCGAGGAGCGCCCUAGGGUAAAACUGGUGACUGGG